This 429-nucleotide ribosomal RNA is filed under the name Gemmatimonadota bacterium. RNAcentral describes it as "Gemmatimonadetes bacterium partial 16S ribosomal RNA". It matches the Rfam family "Bacterial small subunit ribosomal RNA", at positions 355 to 776 of the family's 1533-position model. Lineage: Bacteria; Pseudomonadati; Gemmatimonadota. The record is from RNAcentral.
UAGGGAAUCUUCGGCAAUGGACGAAAGUCUGACCGAGCAACGCCGCGUGAGUGAAGAAGGUUUUCGGAUCGUAAAACUCUGUUGUUAGAGAAGAACAAGGACGUUAGUAACUGAACGUCCCCUGACGGUAUCUAACCAGAAAGCCACGGCUAACUACGUGCCAGCAGCCGCGGUAAUACGUAGGUGGCAAGCGUUGUCCGGAUUUAUUGGGCGUAAAGCGAGCGCAGGCGGUUACUUAAGUCUGAUGUGAAAGCCCCCGGCUCAACCGGGGAGGGUCAUUGGAGACUGGGAGACUUGAGUGCAGAAGAGGAGAGUGGAAUUCCAUGUGUAGCGGUGAAAUGCGUAGAUAUAUGGAGGAACACCAGUGGCGAAGGCGGCUCUCUGGUCUGUAACUGACGCUGAGGCUCGAAAGCGUGGGGAGCAAACAGG